RNAcentral lists this transfer RNA (23 nucleotides) under Natrix natrix (European grass snake). RNAcentral describes it as "partial transfer RNA-Ser". The record is from RNAcentral. Lineage: Eukaryota; Metazoa; Chordata; Lepidosauria; Squamata; Natricidae.
CACCAGAGGGUGCAAUAAGACUU